UGGGAAGCAGUGCCGUCCAACUUCAUUCACCGGCCAUGUGAGAUACUUGCGUAGUGCUAACUGCAAUACCGAUCCAAUUUCUUAAUUGGCCAUGUGAAAUCCGUUAGCUGCAGGCAGGUCCUCAUUUUCCAUGCAUAUUCAAGAGAGAAUGAAAAUCUUUGACCAACUCAAUGAAAAAAGAGGAGAGAAAAAUCAUUGACCCAAUUCAGCGUUUAUCUUUAAAUCAUAAUUUUCUUGUUGGUCGGCAAAUUUGAAGUUGAAGACCCACGCAUUAUGGACACAAUGGGUAUUUCAAAUUAGGUAUCAGCAAAAGCAUGGCCUAAAAUCAAGCCGAAUCUUUAGUCACUGGGCUACACAGAACGCAGGAAGCCCACAUAACAUGCACCGCCAGCUUAAGCUUUAAUGGAGCUUUCUAACAUACCGUGGUGCGCUUAGUAACUCCACUAUGGAUGUCUACUAAAAUUAUAUUGAUUUUGUUUUUAUUUAUUAAGUUUUUUAGCUUUUUAGUGCCUAUUUGGUAUAUUCUAUUUAAUGAUUAUAAG
Molecule: long non-coding RNA, 542 nt
Filed under: Citrus sinensis (sweet orange)
Lineage: Eukaryota; Viridiplantae; Streptophyta; Magnoliopsida; Sapindales; Rutaceae
Description: long non-coding RNA (CSIN_LNC002825)
Source: RNAcentral